This 6036-nucleotide long non-coding RNA is filed under the name Sus scrofa (pig). Its description in RNAcentral is "lncRNA (ENSSSCG00000053562.1)". Lineage: Eukaryota; Metazoa; Chordata; Mammalia; Artiodactyla; Suidae. The record is from RNAcentral.
GAUUGAAACUAGGCACCUGUAGCCAACAAUAAAACUUAACCUUGCAUUCAUCCUUUUCCUUUGUCUGUUUUUGUUUCUCUCUCCUACACUCUUGCUCCCUGGAAUCACAUUCCUAAAUAAACUACCUGUGUGUACGUGCAAUGAACUAGAUGUGUUCUCCAAAAAUUAAUGUAUUGAAACCCUAAUCCCCAAUAUAAUUGUGUUAGAGAUGGCAACUUUGAGAGGUCAUAAUGGGAUUAGUGGUCUUAUAAAAAGGCACUAGAACGCUUGCUUCCCUUCCCCAGCCAACCCUUCCCUAUCUCUCUUUUCCCACCACUUAAGGAUACAGUGAGAGGGGGGAUGCUUACUAGCCAGAAAGCAAGCUCUCACCAGACACUGAAUCUGCCAGUGCUUUUAGUCUUGCCCUCCCCAGCCUUCAAACUAUGACAAAUAAAUGUUUGUUGUUUAAGCCACCCAGUCUAUGGUAUCUUGUUAUAGCAGCCCCAAAUGACUAAGACAUUAAACCUUUUUUUCAAGCUCUUCAUUCUUGUUAUUUUCUGUUCUUCAGAUGGGAUAAAUAUCAACUGACAUAUCUUCCAGUUUGUUAACUCUUUUUUCCAACUGCUCAAAUCUGCUAUAGAGCCUCUCUAGUUAAUUUUCUAUUUUAGUUAUUGUACUUUUCAGUGCCAGAAAUUCUAGUUAUUUUUUUUAAUACUUUCUAUUCUUUCCUGAUAUUCUCUAUCUGGUGAGAGAUAUUUCUCAUAUGUCCUUUUAAUUUUCAGACAUGAUUUUCUUUAAUCCUUAGCUUGUAAUUAUAAUAGCUGAUUUUAUAUCUUUAUAUUAGGUCUAAUGUUUGUUCUUCCUCAGGGACAGCACCUGUUGACUAACUCUAUUUCCCUUUCUACUGGCCAUACUUUCUCUUUCAUAUGAGUCUCAAUUUUUUUUUGUUGAAAAUGAAACAGUUUAUUUUUUAUUGAGAUAUAGUUAACAUACAAUAUUAUGUCAGUGUCAGGUGCACAAUACGGUGAUUUGACAUUUUCAUACAUAAUGAAAUGAUAACCACAAUCUGUCCCCAUACAAAGUUAUUACACAACAAUUGACUGUAUUCCUUAUGCUGUAUAUUACAUCCCUGUGGCCUACAUAUUUUAUAACUAGAGGUUUUUACCUCUUAAUCCACGUCACCUAUUUCAUUCAAUCCACCAUAGCCCUCUCCUCUGUCAACCACCCAUUCUCUGUGUCUCUGAGUCUGUUUUCUUUUUGUUUUGUUUUCUUUUUUAGAUUUCACAUGUAAGUGAGAUCAUAUGGUAUUUGUCUUUUUCUGUCUGAUUUAUUUCAUUUAGCAUGUUAUCGUCUAGGUUCAUUCAUGCUGUCACAAAUGGCACUGUUAUGGCUUAACAGUAUUCCACUGUAUGCAUGCAUAUAUACCGCUUCUUCUCUAUCUGUUCAUCUAUUCAUGGGCACUUGGCUUGCUUCCGUAUCUUGACUAUUGUAAAUAAUGCUUCAAUGAUCAUAUAAAUGUGGCGUCUUUUCUAAUUUGUGUUUUUUCCCUUUGGAUAAGUACACAGGAGUGGAAUUACUGUAUUAUAUGGUAGUUCUAUUUUUAAUUUUUGAGGAUUCUCCCUACUGUUUUCCAUAGAGGCUGUACCGACUUAAAAUCCCAACAGUGCACAAAUCCGUUUUCUUUACAUCCUCACCAACAUUAUUUGUUCUCUUUUUGAUGAUAGCCAUUCUGACAGGUAUGAAGUAAUAUCUUAUUGUGGUUUUAAUUUGCAGUUUCCUGAUGAUUAGUGAUGUUGAGCAUCUUUUCAUGUGUCUGUUGGCCAUCUGCAUGUCUUCUUUGGAGAAAUACCUAUGCAGCUCCUCUGCCCAUCUUUUAAUCAGGUUGUUUAUUUGUUUGGAUGUUGAGCUGUAUGAGUUAUUUUGUAUUUUGAGUGUUAACCCUUUAUCAAACAUAUCAUUUGCUAAUAUCUUAUCCUAUUUGGUAGACUGCCUUUUUGCUUUAUUGAUGGUUUCCCUUGCUGUGCAAAAUCUUCUUAGUUCAAUGUAUUCCCAUUUGUUUAUUUUUGCCUUUAUUUCCCUUGUCUGAGAAGACAUAUCCAAAAAAUAUUGCUAAGACUUAUGUCAAAGGGCAUACUGCUGAUGUUUUCUUUUAGGAGAUUUAUGGUUUCAAGUGUUACUCUUAAAUCUUUAGUUUAUUUUGAAUUUAUUUUUGUUUAUGGUAUAAAAAGUAGUCUAAUGUUACUCUUUCAUGUGUAGCUGUACAAUUUCCCCAACACCAUUUAUUGAAGAAGUUGUCUUUUCUCCGUUAUACAUUCUUGAUUCAUUUAUCAUAGAUUAAUAUACCAUGUAAAUGUGAGUUUAUUUCUGGGCUCUUUAUUUUGUCCCAACAGUACCACACUGUUUUGAUUAUUGUAAAUGUGACAUCUCUGGAAAUUAGAUUACCACCCUCUGUAGUUUAUUGUUGUUGCUGUUUGUUGUAGUAGUUUGUUUACUGACUUUCCUCAAAUAAUUCUGUAGUGACUGCAUUCUUUGUCAUGUAAAGCCACUAAAGUCUGUUCCUAGUUUGCCUACAGGUCAGCCAAUGACUAGUCAGAAAUUUCCUCAAAUGCCUUAUACCAGUAAGUCUACCAUCAUUUACUAAUUCUAAUUUCAAUAGCCUUUUAUUAUUUUUAGUUACUAGGUCUAAUUGCCAUGUGGUCUAUGAAGCCAGAGUUGUAGUUAACUGGUUGUGUCCAGAGUUUGUGUUGUUAACUUUGAGAAUUACUCAGAAAGUGUAAUUGAGGAGAGAACCCAGAGUAGUAUUGGGGUUUGAUUUAUCUUGCUGAGUUGAGGCAGAGACCCUCCUUAUCCUUAGGAUAAAGAAAUAUACAAGAGAAAAUGAUAGAGCUGGCUGAGCAAGGGUUUCUUCUCCAUAAGUCACAUUUCUGCAUCACUACAUUGUUGUAAUUCCAAUGUUAUAUAACCCAAAAAUGUUACAUAUAAUCAAAAGAGGAAUGGAAAAAUUACUCAAAUGCAAACAAAUAAUGGAGUAUAGUACAUCCAUACAAUAAAAUGCUAUUCAGGAAGAAAAAGAAAUAACUACUAAUACUUGCACCUAUAGGAUAAAUCUCAGUUUUAUUAACGAAAGUGAAAGAUGUCAGAUUCAGAAGGCUACAUAUUCUCUGAUCCCAUUAUGUAACAAUCUGGAAAAGGAAAAAUUAUAGCGGUAGAAAACAAACCAGUGGUUGUCAGGUAAUAGAGGAGGGGGAAGAGUUUGAUUUAAAAGGGAAUGAGGAAACACUGAAAGGGGGAGGGCUAUUCUAUCUCUUAAUUGUGGUGAUGGUUAUGAAACUGCAUUUAUUUGACAAAACGUAUAGCACUGUAUACGAAUUUUAUUGUGUGUAAAUUUAUCUCAACAAUCCUGACUUUUAAAAAUGCUAAAUGGAAAUUAUGUUAUUACCUAUUAUUCAUAAUAGAAUUGAAUCUGAAGAGUCAAUUAGUACUUCUUACAUGUAGAGCCGGCAUUUAUAUUUGAAGAUACUUAGAAUAAAGGGCAUCUGAUGAUCCAAAAUUUAGUGAAAUUUGUGAAAUUUAAAUAAAGUUUAUUCUCAAGCAAGGCCAAUACAUGGAUAAAGCUCAGUUCCUUUUGACAGCUUUCAGUGGGAUCUUUGAUUGACCUGAAACAGAGAUGGAGGCUAUUCAUGUAUUUUUCAUCAGAUUAUUAAGUGACACUGGUAAAUUUGCUUUGGUUAACUGUUAAUAAUUUGAAUACAUAUCAAUCACCAUCCCUUUUCUUUUAUGAUAAUUGAAACUUAUUAAUGAGACAAAUAUAACAGAAUUUAAAAAUUGGUAUUCUCCUAAUUGUUAAACUUGAACAAAAAAUAUGUUUUGAAAGCAUCAAAAUUAAAAUUAUUAUGAAAGAUGAAAAAUUAUUUAAUUUCUUUUUGCUUCAAUUGUGUUUAUCAAUUCUAGCAACUUCCCUUAAGUCAACUAGAUCUCCAGGUCAUGGAGUACAGAGAUACUGUGAGAACCUCUCCCAGUAUAAAACUCACUUUCACUUAGAUACACAAACACAUUUCCCCUCUUGUUUCUAUUAACUUUAGAUAACGUGGUCCGAUACUCUAUCUCUAAUACAAUAUGAGAUUUAGUAUUCUCAUCUUGUAAUUAUUAUCCUAUGGAGAAAUGUCCAGGCAUCAACCUCUACCCCCUUUUCUAAGGUUAAGAUCGUCAUUACUCCCAUUUCAAGCUAAAAUGAUCACCAAACCCCAGCCAUUUGGUGAUAAUUUAACAUUGUAAAGUUAUAUGGAGUCUGUAUGUUGAGAGCAUGUGUUAGCUUACAGAAGAAAUUACUUCUUACUUCAUCCAAAAGGAUAUUACCAAGUCAGUUUUAAAUAGACAACUAAGAAGAUUACAUGGGAUAAAUUUUUUUAAAAAAGGUCAUAACUCUGGCUUAAGCCACUACAUAUAUUUUCCAUAAUGAUUCUCUUAUUAAUUCAUAUUGCAAAAUAUAGCUUUGUAGUAAAGUACUUGCCUGGGACCCAUGAUACAGGCUAAUCAUAGCAAAUUGUAUCUAGAACAUUUACUUUGAGUAAGAAAAUAAAAUAUAUAUUUCAUUUUGCAUAUUCUGUUUCAUGGUGAAAAGUUUGGUAUCUAUUCACACAGCUGAACUGGGAUAUUUUUCAUUUUAUCCUUCGCAGUUUCUUGACUAAUUCUAUAACCUGUUUGCCUGAGUGUCUGUAGUUUUUCUAAGAUUGAGGACUCACCUGUGAAGUUUUGCAAUGAAAGCCAGAUAAUUGUGAGAAUAAUCUAAGUUAACAUUUGCUGAGAAAUUUUACUCUACCCAACACACCAUCAACCUAAGUCAUUUAUAAAUAUUUACUUACAUUCAUUUAUGGAACAUAUAUAAGAUAGCUACUCCUAUUAACUCCAUUUUAAAGUAGAGGAAACCGAGACUCUUAAACGUUCUAUAAUUUGCCUAAUAUGCCUGGAGCUGGGGCUAGAACACAUGUAGUUCAGCUCCAUGGCCAAUCUCCAAUCAUAGUUUAGAACAUUUCUAGUGACCAAGCCUACUCAGUAAUCAGUGUAAUGCCCUUGCGCUCAUCUAUUUGAUUCUGUGUGAGGCUUAGUUUGUUCCACUGCUGCAGAGCAGUUUUCACCCAGAAGAGGUGUUUUGAGAGGGUGAUCCCUAGAUCCUGGAAGCUGUUUCUCCCCUAGGCCUUAUAACAUAGGCAGCAUGGUAACUCAACAAAGAGAACUUACUAAAUAGCUUCUGAUGGUGAAAUUUGUAAGGAAACCCAUAGGAGUAAGAUUCAAUUAAGGAUUUAUAAAGAAAAUUUAGUUUCUCAUAGUAUCCUAUAUCUGGAAAUUAAAGAGUUUUGUUUUUUCGUUUUUGUUUUUGUUUUUACAAAUAUGCUGUGGUGAAAUUAUCAUGAUAUUUAGGGUCAAACAAUCUAAGUUCAAUCAUGAAACUGUUACUAACUUGAGUUAGUGUGACAUGGGAAAACUUACUAAGCUUCAAUGAGAUUUUGUUUCUUCCUCUCUUACCAAAGGAGAUUGAAAUAGAUCCAAAGGUCCUUUUCAGUGUUAAAAUGUUGUUAUACAAUUUAAAAUUUUCGCAACGACUUGAAAAUACUCUAAUUCAAACACACUUUGAAGUCUUGUAGUUAGUAAAUAGGAUUUUAUUUGAAACCAAAAUGCCAUAAUUUAAUUUACUAAAAUUUCAUCUGGACUCAUCCAAAGUCUAGGGAGGAGGUUGGAAAUGAAGACAAACAUAAUUUAAAAUGUAUUUUCAUUCUACACUGGAAAAUAACAAAGAAAAAUCUACAUUUAAAAGAUAAAUAAAUGGAGUUCCCAUCAUGGCUCAGUGGUUAACGAAUUUGACUAGGAGCCAUGAGGUUGCAGGUUAAAUACCUGGCCUUGCUCAGUGGGUUAAGGAUCUGGCAUUGCUGUGAGCCGUGGUGUAGGUUGCAGAUGUGGCUCGGAUCACACGUUGCUGUGGCUUUGGCGCAGACCAGCGGCUACAGCUCCAAUUAGACCCCUAGCCUGGGAACCUCCAUAUGCCGCGGGAGCGGCCCUAGA